AGUUCUAGCCUCGAUUCCAAGCCGCUGAGAAAGGCGGCCUGGUAUACACUGUUUACGCAUGCGCCAGAAUUACCAAGAAUCUUGGUAAUCGUAAAUUGCAGUAUAUUUAUCAGUAUUCUUAUUCCGCAUUAGUUUGUAAAACAUUGAUAUCCGUUUCAUUUAUAAUGAUGUCAUUGAAAAAAGAAAUCUAGUCCAAGUUGUGUAAUGGCUGCUACCUUCUCUUCUGCUCUUGUGUACGCGUUAUCCUGUGUUGGAAUACCAGGUCUAGUCUUGAAAGACAAGCAGCUGGAGGCGUUGAAGUGUCUGUACGCUGGUGUUUAUGUGGGUACCGUACCGACCGGCUAUGGCAAGUCCUAGUCCCAGAGCAAGUCCAUCUGCUUUCCAGACACUCCCUUUCUUGAUUGAUGUGAAGCUUGACAGGACCAGUGCACCUCUCUCUAAAAGAAGUGUUGUGAUGGUGAUUUCUCCUCUUGUUUCUCUGAGUGAAGCCAUCUUCAAAGUGUUGGUGUGUCUGUUCGACGUUCAGUGCCAUUCUCUCUGGAAGGAAGUAUUGUUGUGACAUUUGCCGAAAAUUGGUCACAGAGUAAGUACGUGGUAUCUGAUCCGAGAACUGUGUGGCCUGUUACAAUCCGAGGGACUUGUGUGUAUCCGAUCCGAGGGACUUGUUGCUUGAGUGUGUAUCCGGACUUGUUGCUUGAGUGUGUAUUAAUGGAUAGUGCUUUCAAUGGUUUAACUAAUUUCUUAUGAAAUUAACUUGUCGCCUUAGUGUGUAUCCGAUCCAAGCCUCAAGUUAAUGAAUAAAUCUACAGAGCUGAUGUUUUAUCUAGCUGUCUCUGUCUACAGUAUUAUGCAGAGAGGUAGCCUCUUCUUUUUCUUUUUUUUAACAAUAAGAUAAAAUACGGUAAAUAAUAAAUUAAUUGUCCACCCACACGCCAACAGUAAAUACCAGGCCCACUAUUCAAGGGGCUGGAGUCGAGGCUAACUCAGUUCUUGCAGACGUUGUUAGAGUCUAACUUAGACUUCUGGGUUAGGCCAGAUGUCCGUGGCUUAACUGUAUUCAUACCUGAAAUGCCGUGAAAAUUUUGAAUCGUCAUUCACGAAAGAAUGAAUUUAGGAUUACUGUGAGGUCAUUUGUGGAGAUGGUUAGAUAUCUGUUCACGAUACCUGGAGUCAUCAGCAACAGGUUGUGCCAGGACCCCGUUAAAUUGGCCAACAAAGACAGAGGGGUAAAUCCAACGAGAACCCGAAUGUUAGUGAAUUUGCUAAGAACACACAGGCUCUUCGGGUGAUCAACAGCACACGUGCAACAAUUAGAGGCAACUGCUGAAAGACAAUAGAAGACGACCAUUGCAGCUAGGUGAUGAGAAUAACCCCUUCCCAAAAGAAGGCACAAGCAUAAUAUUGUAUAGAGAAAUCAAUUGUUCACAUGUUCAAUCACAUUCACAUGUUCAAUUCUUAACUGUGAUAAAUAAUUGUUCAAUUCUAUAAAUUUAACUGUGCAUGAUAAUUAAAUGAUGCUGCAGAGUGUCACGACUUCAAUUCUGUGUAGAAUUUCACAGUAA
Molecule: long non-coding RNA, 1562 nt
Organism: Halichondria panicea
Lineage: Eukaryota; Metazoa; Porifera; Demospongiae; Suberitida; Halichondriidae
Exons: 4
Source: RefSeq, a predicted model, not a curated record